GACGAACGCUGGCGGCGUGCUUAACACAUGCAAGUCGAACGAAGAGCGAUGGAAGCUUGCUUCUAUCAAUCUUAGUGGCGAACGGGUGAGUAACGCGUAAUCAACCUGCCCUUCAGAGGGGGACAACAGUUGGAAACGACUGCUAAUACCGCAUACGAUCUAAUCUCGGCAUCGAGGAUAGAUGAAAGGUGGCCUCUACAUGUAAGCUAUCACUGAAGGAGGGGAUUGCGUCUGAUUAGCUAGUUGGAGGGGUAACGGCCCACCAAGGCGAUGAUCAGUAGCCGGUCUGAGAGGAUGAACGGCCACAUUGGGACUGAGACACGGCCCAGACUCCUUCGGGAGGCAGCAGUGGGGAAUCUUCCGCAAUGGACGAAAGUCUGACGGAGCAACGCCGCGUGAGUGAUGACGGCCUUCGGGUUGUAAAGCUCUGUUAUUCGGGACGAAAGGCCUUCUUGCGAAUAGUGAGAAGGAUUGACGGUACCGGAAUAGAAAGCCACGGCUAACUACGUG
This 510-nucleotide ribosomal RNA is filed under the name uncultured bacterium. Its description in RNAcentral is "partial 16S ribosomal RNA". It matches the Rfam family "Bacterial small subunit ribosomal RNA", at positions 28 to 507 of the family's 1533-position model. The record is from RNAcentral.